This 253-nucleotide ribosomal RNA is filed under the name uncultured bacterium. RNAcentral's name for it is "partial 16S ribosomal RNA". It matches the Rfam family "Bacterial small subunit ribosomal RNA", at positions 524 to 776 of the family's 1533-position model. The record is from RNAcentral.
UACAGAGGGUGCGAGCGUUGUCCGGAAUCACUGGGCGUAAAGGGUGCGUAGGUGGCUCGUUAAGCGUGUGGUGAAAGCCUGGGGCUCAACCCCAGGUCUGCCAUGCGAACUGGCGAGCUCGAGCAUAGUAGAGGCGGGUGGAAUUCCGGGUGUAGCGGUGGAAUGCGUAGAUAUCCGGAAGAACACCGGUGGCGAAGGCGGCCCGCUGGGCUAUUGCUGACACUGAUGCACGACAGCGUGGGGAGCAAACAGG